This 896-nucleotide long non-coding RNA is filed under the name Mus spicilegus (steppe mouse). Its description in RNAcentral is "lncRNA (ENSMSIG00000013511.1)". Lineage: Eukaryota; Metazoa; Chordata; Mammalia; Rodentia; Muridae. The record is from RNAcentral.
GGUGAUGCUCUGCUCAUCUUCUCCCCAGCGCUUUCAAGGCAAGAGUGGGGAAGGUCUUCAGAAAGGAGGAAGAAGAAGAGGAGGAAGAUGGUGCUGUGGUUUAUCGACACCUCACUCCGAUUCUCCAAAGAAUCAUAUCACAUGAAUAAUUAACCUUCCAGCAAGCCAAAGAACUGAUCUUCAGGGAGCCGAGAGUUCAUGAAAAUUUAAAGACCUGAGCCAGAGCAGGCAAUGUGUUGUUUUCAUGGCAGCUUAGACAUCUUUGAAAACUCAAAAGUUUCAGGGUCUCCCCUAGGGUCCUACUGUGACGUCAGCAUGGGCUUCCUGGAUUCCCGAGUCUUGCUGGGCAGGGUGCUUCUCUGGGAGCUCCGUCCAGGCGAGAAGGCUAGUGCCUACAGGUAAAGCAGCAAGGUGGACAAGAAGCUCUUUUGUGGGAAGUUCUCAGUCAUUGAAUCAGGAAGAAGGCUGGAGGUGGACCUUCGGUGAUAUGGAAUAACCCUCUAGGAUAUCCUCAAAGUAGCAAAUCAAGGCAUCCAUGAAGUGUUUAGUCUUCCUGGUUCCAGGUGCUCCCAAUAGAAUAGCAUCUGCAGGUCCUGACUAGAAGGUGGGAGGUAUCCUGGUGGGCUGCCAGGAGGCAGUGUUGUAGGGAUUGAUGAUCUCUUCCUGGGGCUACAAAAUUAGAUGCAUUUGAUCAUAACCAUCUAACGAUAUAUGCUACUGCUUGUGGAGCCUCGAGUGUGGGGGAAAAAGGACAGUGGGAGAGAACCCAUGUCCUGCCAGAGUUCCGUGCUCUGGGCGGGCAGACUCUGGAGGACUGUGCACGCUUUCCAUGCGGCCCCAGGUGGGCAUCUGGCCGUGUUAAGCCACUGACUCUACAUGGCGGGUGGUGGACACGG